GAAAACAAAACUAGGACGAUUUGCUUUCAGCCACCAAUAAGAUUGAAGCUUAACUUUAUCUAGCAAUUGAUUAAUCGAAACUUCUGUUUGGUGAAAAACCCGAGCAUUCCUUUCAAGCCAAAUCACCCACACACAAGAUAAUCAUAUAAGAUGAAAAGCGGAGCGAUUGUUUUUUGAGAAGCCUCCUAAGGUGCCAAAUU
RNAcentral lists this long non-coding RNA (200 nucleotides) under Medicago truncatula (barrel medic). RNAcentral's name for it is "long non-coding RNA (MTRU_LNC002453)". The record is from RNAcentral. Lineage: Eukaryota; Viridiplantae; Streptophyta; Magnoliopsida; Fabales; Fabaceae.